This 1061-nucleotide long non-coding RNA is filed under the name Androctonus crassicauda. Lineage: Eukaryota; Metazoa; Arthropoda; Arachnida; Scorpiones; Buthidae. The record is from RNAcentral.
AAGCUUAACCAUUUCAUUGUCGGCGAAUACUAUUCAAAACUGGACGAGUCGAUGACGAGAAUGGACAUCAAAAAUCAGCCCGAAAAAAAUCUGUAAGGUGGACGAGAAAGGCUGCGGACUUACCAUCCAUCACCAGCCAAGGGUACUGGCGAAAUCCGGAUCCAAGAGGGUUCACCUACUAGCCAACGAGCGUGCGCAAAAAGUUACAAUAAUUGCGUGCGGUAAUGCGAUGCCCCUAUGAUCCUGUUUAAGGGCCAACGUCUGAAGCCAGAGUGGGUGGAGAUUCUCCCGGAUCGAACGGCAACGGCACCUAACGGGAGUAUGACUACAGACACUUUUGUCGAGUGGCUUCGUCACUUUGCCGAGUACGAGCAUCCCGGUCCCGUACUAUCUUUGGCGGCGCCUCUUCUCAUCUCGACUAUACCAACGUCGAAGUUGCUGAGCAGUUGGAAAUAAGCGAUACUACCCACGAGUCGCAGCCGCUCGAUCCUAAGAUACUGAAACAGAUACCCUCGGAGAGACAUUAACAAAACUACCUUUGGGAAAUUUUUUUCCCGUUUGGGACAAAACCACGACCCAGAAGAACCUUAAGAGCGGCUCGGUUGCAACAGGAAUUUAUCCCUUCAAUAAAGACGCUAUACCGGAAGAAGCGUUCGCAUCUUCCGCACUAACAGAGAGAGGGGAGAUAAUGCAAUACCAGAACCUCGAGUCGGUGAUCGAGUGCCACACGACAUUCCGACGGAGGAAGAACCGGCAUCUCCCACAAUUGAGCGGCAAACUGCCUCUUCUUUCUCACAGCCGCUAUCGACGCCGAGACAAAAGCGGGAUAAACCAAAGAGAGCCGCGAGGAAAGCGAUCGAUAGCGGAGAUGUAGAACUAAACAGACAACUCUUCGCAUCUUCUUCCGAUAAAUCCAACUCAUCGAAAGCGAACUACGGCCCGAGAAAUCGAAGAAAAAACGAGAAAUCGAGAGCGGGUUGACCACAUCGACCAGCCUCAAACUUCGGAUGGACGAAGAGCCGAGGAGUCUCGGUACUGUUUCGUCCGCCCUGAAGAGCGAC